AACGCUGGCGGCAUGCUUUACACAUGCAAGUCGAACGGGCUUGGGGGCUUGCUCCCAAGUUAGUGGCGAACGGGUGAGUAAUACAUCGGAACGUACCGUGUAGUGGGGGAUAACGUAGCGAAAGUUACGCUAAUACCGCAUACGAUCUACGGAUGAAAGCAGGGGGACCUUCGGGGCCUUGUGCUAUACGAGCGGCCGAUGUCUGAUUAGCUAGUUGGUGAGGUAAAGGCUCACCAAGGCGACGAUCAGUAGCGGGUCUGAGAGGAUGAUCCGCCACACUGGGACUGAGACACGGCCCAGACUCCUACGGGAGGCAGCAGUGGGGAAUUUUGGACAAUGGGCGAAAGCCUGAUCCAGCCAUGCCGCGUGUCUGAAGAAGGCCUUCGGGUUGUAAAGGACUUUUGUCAGGGAGCAAAACUUACUGGUUAAUACCCGGUGAGGCUGAGAGUACCUGAAGAAUAAGCACCGGCUAACUACGUGCCAGCAGCCGCGGUAAUACGUAGGGUGCAAGCGUUAAUCGGAAUUACUGG
Molecule: ribosomal RNA, 530 nt
Filed under: uncultured bacterium
Lineage: Bacteria
Description: bacterial SSU rRNA
Rfam family: Bacterial small subunit ribosomal RNA
Source: RNAcentral